This 468-nucleotide ribosomal RNA is filed under the name uncultured bacterium. Its description in RNAcentral is "partial 16S ribosomal RNA". It matches the Rfam family "Bacterial small subunit ribosomal RNA", at positions 28 to 507 of the family's 1533-position model. The record is from RNAcentral.
GACGAACGCUGGCGGCGUGCUUAACACAUGCAAGUCGAACGGAAAGGCCCUGCUUUUGUGGGGUGCUCGAGUGGCGAACGGGUGAGUAACACGUGAGUAACCUGCCCUUGACUUUGGGAUAACUUCAGGAAACUGGGGCUAAUACCGGAUAGGAGCUCCUGCUGCAUGGUGGGGGUUGGAAAGUCUCGGCGGUUGGGGAUGGGCUCGCGGCUUAUCAGCUUGUUGGUGGGGUAGUGGCUUACCAAGGCUUUGACGGGUAGCCGGCCUGAGAGGGUGACCGGCCACAUUGGGACUGAGAUACGGCCCAGACUCCUACGGGAGGCAGCAGUGGGGAAUAUUGCACAAUGGGCGGAAGCCUGAUGCAGCAACGCCGCGUGCGGGAUGACGGCCUUCGGGUUGUAAACCGCUUUCGCCUGUGACGAAGCGUGAGUGACGGUAAUGGGUAAAGAAGCACCGGCUAACUACGUG